RNAcentral lists this transfer RNA (69 nucleotides) under Ictidomys tridecemlineatus (thirteen-lined ground squirrel). RNAcentral describes it as "Spermophilus tridecemlineatus (thirteen-lined ground squirrel) tRNA". It matches the Rfam family "tRNA". From Rfam's summary of the family: Transfer RNA (tRNA) molecules are approximately 80 nucleotides in length. Their secondary structure includes four short double-helical elements and three loops (D, anti-codon, and T loops). Lineage: Eukaryota; Metazoa; Chordata; Mammalia; Rodentia; Sciuridae. The record is from Rfam by way of RNAcentral.
GGGGUUGUGGCUCAGUGGUAGAGUGCAUGUCUGGCAUGCGUGAGGCCGGGGGUUCGAUCUUCAGCACCA